GUAUAAGAGACAGCAGUCGCCGCGGGAAUACGGAGGGUGCAAGCGUUAAUCGGAAUUACUGGGCGUAAAGCGCACGCAGGCGGUCUGACAAGUCAGAUGUGAAAUCCCCGGGCUUAACCUGGGAACUGCAUUUGAAACUGUCAGGCUGGAGUCUUGUAGAGGGGGGUGGAAUUCCAGGUGUAGCGGUGAAAUGCGUAGAGAUCUGGAGGAAUACCGGUGGCGAAGGCGGCCCCCUGGACAAAGACUGACGCUCAGGUGCGAAAGCGUGGGGAGCAAACAGGAUUAGAUACCCGCGUAGUCCCUGUCUCUUAUAC
This 314-nucleotide ribosomal RNA is filed under the name uncultured bacterium. RNAcentral's name for it is "partial 16S ribosomal RNA". It matches the Rfam family "Bacterial small subunit ribosomal RNA", at positions 495 to 807 of the family's 1533-position model. The record is from RNAcentral.